Molecule: long non-coding RNA, 200 nt
Filed under: Elaeis guineensis (African oil palm)
Lineage: Eukaryota; Viridiplantae; Streptophyta; Magnoliopsida; Arecales; Arecaceae
Description: long non-coding RNA (EGUI_LNC022683)
Source: RNAcentral
AAGAGAAAUUCUUUGUGCACCACGCGCGCAGUGACCAGAAGAGAAAUUCUUUGUGCACCGCGCACGGUGCGCGGUGGUGAUUGGUUCCCGGGGGGAGGGCGGCUGGGGCUUGCGGAAUCAGUCACCGUGCGCGGUGGACAAAGAAUUUCUCGUGACUAGAAUUCUGGAAAUGGUUUAACUUAUAGUGUUAAAUGGGAGGG